Molecule: long non-coding RNA, 802 nt
Organism: Amphimedon queenslandica
Lineage: Eukaryota; Metazoa; Porifera; Demospongiae; Haplosclerida; Niphatidae
Exons: 3
Source: RefSeq, a predicted model, not a curated record
AAUUUACAGAUUUAUCUCAACUAUCUGGCAAUACGAACUACAAAUUUUGUUAUUUUAAUAGUAACAUCCACAUAGUCAUAAAUAAUUGGCUAUUGUCUUUACUGCUUUAGGUUUGCGUUUUGUUACUUUUUUAGCAGCAAAAAUUACUUUUUUAGCAUACUUUUUAAGCAGCAGUGAGUGGACAGGGCCGUCCGGGUCACCAAUUUAGCGUAUGAGUAUAUGUGUGUUGCAGCUAGUGAUAGGGAAGCAGAUAUGCUGCUUGCCAUUGAGCGCUCACAUUUACCUCGAGUUGACUUGACACCCAAACACUGAUCAAUUAUAAAACACAACAUGCAAUAUAUAUUAAGAGAUAUCAUGAAUAUGCAUGAGAUGUGAUGUCAUGAGUUCACUACACGUGUAUCUAUUGUUACUAGGAGAAGCAACUGAUGGUGAGACUAGACCUGUAGGAAGAGGAAUGGCUACACGUAAUAGAGAAGCAACUAAUGGUGAUACUAGAGCUGUAAGAAGAGGAACAGCUACACGAGAAGCAACUGAUGGUGAUACUAGAGCUGUCAGAAGAGAAACAGCUACACGUAAUAGUAAGUUCUUUUAUGCUAGCAGUGAGUAAGUGUAUGUCUCGAGCUGUGUAGAAUGAGGUAUGCAGCUAGUACCAAUAGCUCAAAAUAAUAUCAGGGCAAAAGAGCGUGUGUGUUUGAGAAAAUUGUUACGUUUAAAGUUUAAGCUUACUGAGUAAAAGUUCUAUUAAUGAUUGGCACCACCCAUUUUGUGGCACUUGUUUUAUCUAGGUAAACUAUACUUUGCC